This 231-nucleotide unclassified non-coding RNA is filed under the name plant metagenome. Its description in RNAcentral is "partial contains small subunit ribosomal RNA, internal transcribed spacer 1, and 5.8S ribosomal RNA". The record is from RNAcentral.
UCUCCGUUGGUGAACCAGCGGAGGGAUCAUUACUGAGUUACCGCUCUACAACCCUUUGUGAACAUACCUAACUGUUGCUUCGGCGGGCAGAGGUCCCUCGCGGAUCUCUCCCGGCAACGCCCUCACGGGCGGAGCGCCCGCCGGAGGAUACCAAACUCUAUUUUAACGACGCUUCUUCUGAGUGGCACAAGCAAAUAAUUAAAACUUUUAACAACGGAUCUCUUGGUUCUG